This 493-nucleotide ribosomal RNA is filed under the name uncultured bacterium. Its description in RNAcentral is "partial 16S ribosomal RNA". It matches the Rfam family "Bacterial small subunit ribosomal RNA", at positions 28 to 507 of the family's 1533-position model. The record is from RNAcentral.
GACGAACGCUGGCGGCGUGCUUAACACAUGCAAGUCGAACGGAGAGGCCUGCUUUCCCUUGUUGUUUGCGGGUAUUCGAGUGGCUAACGGGUGAGUAACACGCGAGUGAUCUGCCCCCAACUUGGGUUUAAGCCUGGUAAACUGGGUCUAAUUCCCGAUAGUACUGCAUGUUGUUGCUUGUGGUGGAACACGUUUUUCUAGUGGUUGUGGAUGAGCUCGCGGCCUAUCAGCUUGUUGGUGGGGUAAUGGCCUACCAAGGCGGCGACGGGUAGCCGGGCUGAGGGGGGAGACGGGCACAUUGGGACUGAGAAACGGCCCAGACUAGGAAGGGGGGCAGAAGUGGGGAAUAUUGCACAAUGGGCGGAAGACUGAUGCAGCGACGGCGAGGGGGGGAUGACGGCCUUAGGGUUGUAAACUAAUUCGAGCGCGAGGAAGCCACCUGGUUGGAAGGGUGGUGACGGUAGUGGUAGAAGAAGCACCGGCUAACUACGUG